UUGUGAUGCCAAUAAGUUCUGAACACUCCCUAUCCCACAACAGGAAGGGAGCGUCACUUGUUGCAUCUACGACCCUAACAAUGACCCUAUGUUAUAUGUUAUUGACCCAUUUU
Molecule: long non-coding RNA, 113 nt
Organism: Ipomoea nil (Japanese morning glory)
Lineage: Eukaryota; Viridiplantae; Streptophyta; Magnoliopsida; Solanales; Convolvulaceae
Exons: 4
Source: RefSeq, a predicted model, not a curated record